CCAUACACAACACCCUGAACAUGCCUGAUCUUGUCUGUUCUUAGAAGCUAAGCAGGAUCAGUCUGGUUGGUACCUGGAAGGGAAAGAGGCCUGAGUGUUGGAUUUAUAGGGUGGGAAUGCUAGGAUGGU
Aotus nancymaae (Ma's night monkey) is the source of this 129-nucleotide ribosomal RNA. The record is from Ensembl. NCBI's taxonomy places the organism in Eukaryota, Metazoa, Chordata, Mammalia, Primates, Aotidae.